Molecule: small nuclear RNA, 104 nt
Organism: Molossus molossus (Pallas's mastiff bat)
Lineage: Eukaryota; Metazoa; Chordata; Mammalia; Chiroptera; Molossidae
Source: RefSeq, a predicted model, not a curated record
GUGCUUGCUUCGGCAGCACAUACACUAAAAUUGGAAUGCUACAGAGAUUAGCAUGGCCCGUGCAAAAGGAUGACACACAAAUUCGUGAAGCAUUCCUUUUUUUU